GAAACUAAAGCUAAACCAACUUAAACCAAUCUAGCCUAACCGAUAUAUGAUCUCUAAAACUCCCCCUCAAGAUGAAAGUAUCAAGGAACUUUCAUCUUGGACUUGAAAACUCCAUUAGUGUAUCCUCCAUAACCUUCUCGAUGAGAGAAACAUUCAUGUGAACUUGAUAGAUCUUAUUUGACGUGAGUGGCUUGAAUCCAAGAUGAGCUUGAUAAAACUGGUGAGUAUUACAAGUAAAGAAUACUGCUCAAAGAAACUGGAAGUCUCCAUGGUUUUGUAGCAAAAAAAAAAAACAUCAGGAACCAGCCAUAGGAGUAACAAGCCGUAGACAAGUGAAGGAUCUUAUCUCUUUUAACCAAGCAUCCUCUUUCCAAAACCAAAUUCAACUAACCAUCAACCACAAACCAGCCUCUGCAAUGACCUUUCGCUCAUCAAGAGAAAGUUAAACAAACCAGAGAUGUGUAAACUACAAUGUUUCAUAGCCAAAUAGAAACCCAAAACUUCCUCUGGUUUGGACCAGAACUUGGUGAAGGGAUGCUUGCGGAUAUAUCCGGCCAUGAAAAUAUCAGUUGAAAACAAACCAGAAUUUAACACACAACUGCAGUAAGUGAGCAGCUUCUCUAGUCUUCCCAUACAUUCUUGAACUUGAGAAUGAAACUUGGAAUAACAAAGACAAGCCAGCAAGUCAACAUUGCUUAGAUGAUACUUCCAUCUUCUUAAUCAACUCUGUAAGUCCUUGAAAUCCAUGCUUGAUGUGCAUGACAAACAGUUGAUCAACACACAACACCUCAAUAAAGGCACAUCCAUCUUCUGUUUCGACAAGGAGGCUUAACAACAGGUAACAUUAUGGCACCAAGUUCACAAAAAAUAGUGAAACCAGAACAAUUGAAGAUCAUAAUCAUCGCUGCCAUGAACCAGAAUAACCAAAACAUUGGGAUUACUUGAUUGUAUCUCCCCCUAUCUUAGAACAGAUCCAGAUGAUCAAAUUCUUAAUAACUAUCAAA
RNAcentral lists this long non-coding RNA (1004 nucleotides) under Arabidopsis lyrata. RNAcentral describes it as "long non-coding RNA (ALYR_LNC001673)". Lineage: Eukaryota; Viridiplantae; Streptophyta; Magnoliopsida; Brassicales; Brassicaceae. The record is from RNAcentral.